GGCCCAGACUCCUGCGCGAGGCAGCAGU
RNAcentral lists this ribosomal RNA (28 nucleotides) under uncultured bacterium. Its description in RNAcentral is "partial 16S ribosomal RNA". The record is from RNAcentral.